UUCGUAAAAUGAUCGCACGGGAAGAGGAUGAGUCUGUUAUAAAGUUCGUAAAAUGAUCUCACGGGAAGAGGAUGAGUGUGUUAUAAAGUUCGUAAAAUGAUCUCACGGGAAGAGGGUGAGUCUGUUAUAAAGUUCGUAAAAUGAUCAAAGGAAGGGUGAGUGUGUUAUAAAGUUCG
Molecule: long non-coding RNA, 176 nt
Organism: Xenia sp. Carnegie-2017
Lineage: Eukaryota; Metazoa; Cnidaria; Anthozoa; Malacalcyonacea; Xeniidae
Exons: 3
Source: RefSeq, a predicted model, not a curated record